ACGUAGGGGGCUAGCGUUAUCCGGAUUUACUGGGCGUAAAGGGUGCGUAGGCGGUCUUUCAAGUCAGGAGUUAAAGGCUACGGCUCAACCGUAGUAAGCUCCUGAUACUGUCUGACUUGAGUGCAGGAGAGGAAAGCGGAAUUCCCAGUGUAGCGGUGAAAUGCGUAGAUAUUGGGAGGAACACCAGUAGCGAAGGCGGCUUUCUGGACUGUAACUGACGCUGAGGCACGAAAGCGUGGGGAGCAAACAGGAUUAGAUACCCUGGUAGUCCACGCUGUAAACGAUGAGUACUAGGUGUCGGAGGUUACCCCCUUCGGUGCCGCAGCUAACGCAUUAAGUACUCCGCCUGGGGAGUACGCACGCAAGUGUG
RNAcentral lists this ribosomal RNA (370 nucleotides) under uncultured bacterium. RNAcentral's name for it is "bacterial SSU rRNA". It matches the Rfam family "Bacterial small subunit ribosomal RNA", at positions 525 to 896 of the family's 1533-position model. The record is from RNAcentral.